Molecule: long non-coding RNA, 645 nt
Filed under: Chloebia gouldiae (Gouldian finch)
Lineage: Eukaryota; Metazoa; Chordata; Aves; Passeriformes; Passeridae
Description: Erythrura gouldiae (Gouldian finch) lncRNA (ENSEGOG00005010741.1)
Source: RNAcentral
GCCUGGGCAGCCCCUGGGACGUGCCAGGCUGGCCCCUGCCCGCCCUCACCGUGCCGUUGAUGCUCCACUGGACGGUGGGCCGGGGGAAGGCGAUGGCCUUGCAGGUCAGGUUGACCACCUCGUCCUGGCGCACGUGGAGCGGGGAGCUGAUGGCCACGAUCCGCGGCUUCCCUGGGGGCAGGGGACAGCAGCACCCACAGCUCUCAAUGGAAGGGGUGCUGGGCAGGCAGGGGACAGCAGCACCCACAGCUCUCAAUGGAAGGGGUGCUGGGUAGGCAGGGGACAUCAGCACCCACAGCUCUCAAUGGAAGGGGUGCUGGGCAGGCAGGGGACAUCAGCACCCCCAGCUCUCAAUGGAAGGGGUGCUGGGCAGGCAGGGGACAUCAGCACCCACAGCUGCUGGGGAAGGGGUGCUGGGCAGGCAGGGGUCACUCUGCACCCACAGCUCCCAGAGAAUGGGUGCUGGGCAGGCAGGGGUCACCCUGCACCCAGGGGUCACUCUGCACCCAGGGGUCACCCUGCACCCACAGCUCCCAGGAGAAUGGGUGCUGGGCAGGCAGGGGUCACUCUGCACCCACAGCUCUCAAUGGAAGGGGUGCUGGGCAGGCAGGGGUCACCCUGCACCCACAGCUCUCAAUGGAAGGG